UACGGAGGGAGCUAGCGUUGUUCGGAAUUACUGGGCGUAAAGCGCACGUAGGCGGCUUUUCAAGUUCAGGGGUGAAAUCCCGGGGCGUCAACCUCGGAACUGCCCUUGAAACUGGAAAGCUAGAAUCCUGGAGAGGCGAGUGGAAUUCCGAGUGUAGAGGUGAAAUUCGUAGAUAUUCGGAAGAACACUAGUGGCGAAGGCGACUCGCUGGACAGGUAUUGACGCUGAGGUGCGAAAAGCGUGGGGGAGC
Molecule: ribosomal RNA, 250 nt
Filed under: uncultured bacterium
Lineage: Bacteria
Description: partial 16S ribosomal RNA
Rfam family: Bacterial small subunit ribosomal RNA
Source: RNAcentral